UUGGAGGGCAAGUCUGGUGCCAGCAGCCGCGGUAAUUCCAGCUCCAAUAGCGUAUAUUAAAGUUGUUGCAGUUAAAAAGCUCGUAGUUGAAUUUCGGGGUUCUACCGUUGGUCGGGCAAUAGUCUGUACUGGCGUGUAGAAUUUCUACCUUCUGGGGAACUAUCAUGUUAUUUAUUUAGCGUGGUAGGAAACCAGGACCUUUACCUUGAAAAAAUUAGAGUGUUCAAAGCAGGCUUACGUCUGAAUACAUUAGCAUGGAAUAGUAAAAUAGGACGGUGGUCCUGUUUUGUUGGUUUCUGAAUCACCGUAAUGAUUAAUAGGGAUAGUUGGGGGCAUUAGUAUUCAAUUGUCAGAGGUGAAAUUCUUGGAUUUAUUGAAGACUAACUUCUGCGAAAGCAUUUGCCAAGGAUGUUUUCAUUAAUCAAGAACGAAAGUUAGGGGAUCGAAGACGAUCAGAUACCGUCGUAGUCUUAACCAUAAACUAUGCCGACUAGGGAUCGGACGAUGUUAAUUUUUCUUGACUCGUUCGGCGCCUUACGGGAAAC
RNAcentral lists this ribosomal RNA (545 nucleotides) under uncultured Gigasporaceae. Its description in RNAcentral is "SSU rRNA". It matches the Rfam family "Eukaryotic small subunit ribosomal RNA", at positions 548 to 1098 of the family's 1831-position model. Lineage: Eukaryota; Fungi; Glomeromycota; Glomeromycetes; Diversisporales; Gigasporaceae. The record is from RNAcentral.